RNAcentral lists this ribosomal RNA (512 nucleotides) under Salmonella enterica. RNAcentral describes it as "bacterial LSU rRNA". It matches the Rfam family "Bacterial large subunit ribosomal RNA", at positions 711 to 1221 of the family's 2925-position model. The record is from RNAcentral. RNAcentral also lists the same sequence under 2 other names. Lineage: Bacteria; Pseudomonadati; Pseudomonadota; Gammaproteobacteria; Enterobacterales; Enterobacteriaceae.
AGACCCGAAACCCGGUGAUCUAGCCAUGGGCAGGUUGAAGGUUGGGUAACACUAACUGGAGGACCGAACCGACUAAUGUUGAAAAAUUAGCGGAUGACCUGUGGCUGGGGGUGAAAGGCCAAUCAAACCGGGAGAUAGCUGGUUCUCCCCGAAAGCUAUUUAGGUAGCGCCUCGUGAAUUCAUCUCCGGGGGUAGAGCACUGUUUCGGCUAGGGGGCCAUCCCGGCUUACCAACCCGAUGCAAACUGCGAAUACCGGAGAAUGUUAUCACGGGAGACACACGGCGGGUGCUAACGUCCGUCGUGAAGAGGGAAACAACCCAGACCGCCAGCUAAGGUCCCAAAGUCAUAGUUAAGUGGGAAACGAUGUGGGAAGGCCCAGACAGCCAGGAUGUUGGCUUAGAAGCAGCCAUCAUUUAAAGAAAGCGUAAUAGCUCACUGGUCGAGUCGGCCUGCGCGGAAGAUGUAACGGGGCUAAACUAUGCACCGAAGCUGCGGCAGCGACACUAUGUGU